Molecule: non-coding RNA, 600 nt
Organism: Nylanderia fulva
Lineage: Eukaryota; Metazoa; Arthropoda; Insecta; Hymenoptera; Formicidae
Source: RefSeq, a predicted model, not a curated record
AGACGAGAGUAAAAUACAUUUUACGCGCGCUACUUGAAAGAAUCAAAUAUGAAGAAAUUGAUGAUACAGACCAACUUAGAAUAUGUUUACGACAAGAAGCUGCAAGAUGGGCAUGUUUUCUCGAUGACCUCAAUUGUAAGGAAGUAGCCAACAGAAAAUUAGAACAUCAUCUCUUAGAUCCUACAAAACACAAACUUUUGCCAUGGUGGAAGGAAUGGACAUAUAAAGGUUUGAUGAUAGCCACGAACGAGACUUGGCAAUUUGUGUACAAUAUAGGAUUGAACAAAUUUGACACUAAAUUUUUAGAAUACUUGGCUUGCACUGAAGAUACUGUUAUGAUUAGGAACUAUUUAACAUAUAAAAAUAUUACACAUCGAAAAUAUUAUUAUCAUCUUAACAGUUUCUUACCCAUUAUUACGAAGCAUGCAACGAAUCCAACUAUUCUGCCGUACAUAUUAGAUAUUUUUUUGGACAUAAAACCAAAAUAUGUCGAUAUAACUGUAGCAUUUACUGUUAUUAUUAAUAACAUAUAUGCCGUAAAUCUAUUUCAAGUAAAAUUUUACAUGUUUAUAUAUGUAUGUGUACAAAUCGUGAGAAUAA